RNAcentral lists this ribosomal RNA (773 nucleotides) under uncultured Neocallimastigales. RNAcentral's name for it is "partial large subunit ribosomal RNA". It matches the Rfam family "Eukaryotic large subunit ribosomal RNA", at positions 24 to 643 of the family's 3401-position model. Lineage: Eukaryota; Fungi; Neocallimastigomycota; Neocallimastigomycetes; Neocallimastigales. The record is from RNAcentral.
UACGACUACAUAUCAGGCAUAUCAAUAAGCGGAGGAAAAGAAACUAACUAGGAUUCCCUUAGUAACGGCGAGUGAAGCGGGAAGAGCUCAAAUUUGAAAUCUUCAAGGUUUUACCUUGACGAAUUGUAGUUUAAAGAAGUGUUUUCUGUUGGUGUUUUGGUAAAAGUUCUUUGGAAUAGGACAUCAUAGAGGGUGAGAAUCCCGUAUUUGACCAUUACUUCCAGCGUUGUGAUACACUUUCAAAGAGUCGGAUUGUUUGGGAAUGCAGUCCAAAAUGGGUGGUAAAUUUCAUCUAAAGCUAAAUAUUGGCGAGAGACCGAUAGCGAACAAGUACCGUGAGGGAAAGAUGAAAAGAACUUUGAAAAGAGAGUUAAACAGUACGUGAAAUUGUCAAAAGGGAAGCGUUUGACACCAGUGUUGUUUCGUCGAAAAUCAAUUAAAAAGAGUUGGAUUUUGUAUUGUUAAGACCUUAUCAGCUUACUGUACUUUUUUCUUGCUCUUUUUAAUGCACUUUUCGUUUAACAAGUCAACAUCAAUUUCUUUUGUUGUAAAAGGGUCAUUGGAAGGUGGCUCUCACUUCGGUGAAAGUGUUUAUAGCCUUUGGCUUCUACAAUCGGAGAGAUUGAGGUCUGCAGCGUAGAUCCUUCGGGGUUAGAUACGUAGAUGCUAAGUUAUAGUUUUUUAUAGACAACUUGUUGACUAUGAUUAAUCAUGUAGCUUACUCGUUUACGCUAUUUUACCUACGCUUAGGAUGUUGAAUCUGUGCGAGACUA